AUUCCUACGGGAGGCAGCAGUGGGGAAUCUUAGACAAUGGGCGCAAGCCUGAUCUAGCCAUGCCGCGUGAGCGAUGAGGCCUUAGGGUUGUAAAGCUCUUUCAGCGAGGAAGAUAAUGACUGUACUCGCAGAAGAAGCCCCGGCUAACUCCGUGCCAGCAGCCGCGGUAAUAAU
Molecule: ribosomal RNA, 174 nt
Filed under: uncultured bacterium
Lineage: Bacteria
Description: partial 16S ribosomal RNA
Rfam family: Bacterial small subunit ribosomal RNA
Source: RNAcentral